Molecule: long non-coding RNA, 426 nt
Organism: Oncorhynchus gorbuscha (pink salmon)
Lineage: Eukaryota; Metazoa; Chordata; Actinopteri; Salmoniformes; Salmonidae
Exons: 3
Source: RefSeq, a predicted model, not a curated record
CCACCACCUCCAAUGUCCCAAGUUGUAAUCAGUGAGAUCAGUUUAGAGACCAGACUCCCUGACCCGCCCUCUCUGACUCCAACUCAGACUCUACUCUCCAUACCGAACAGGUCAGUCCUGACUCCAACCCGGACUCUCCUCUCCAUACCUAACAGGAGUGUGACCAAGGGCCUGUGUUCGUACUGCUGUAAACCGAUGGUGGCUGGAGCCAACAUGAUCCUGGAGGAUCUACAGAUCUACAGCCACUCAUCCUGCUUCAAGGUAAAGAAACACACCCGUCUAUUCAACAUAUAUCUAUGCGUGUCCCAAUUGUCUCUCCUAAGCUCUUUAAAAACUGCACUGCUUCAGACCAGGCCCAAUGGAUCCUAUAGGCUCUGGUCAAAAGUAGUGCACUAUAUCGGGAAUAGUGUGGCAUUUUCACACACC